GAUGAACGCUGGCGGCGUGCCUAAUACAUGCAAGUAGAACGCUGAAGGAGGAGCUUGCUCUUCUGGAUGAGUUGCGAACGGGUGAGUAACGCGUAGGUAACCUGCCUGGUAGCGGGGGAUAACUAUUGGAAACGAUAGCUAAUACCGCAUGACAACAGUUAUUGCAUGAUAACUGUUUAAAAGGGGCAACUGCUCCACUACCAGAUGGACCUGCGUUGUAUUAGCUAGUUGGUGAGGUAACGGCUCACCAAGGCGACGAUACAUAGCCGACCUGAGAGGGGGAACGGCCACACUGGGAAUUGGGCACGGGCCAGACUCCUACGGGAGGCAGCAGUAGGGGAUCUUUGGCAAUGGACGGAAGUCUUACCGAGCAACGCCGGGUGAGAGAAGGAGGUUUUCGGAUCGUAAAGCUCUGUUGGAAGAGAAGAAAGAGUGUGAGAGUAGAAAGUGCACACUGUGACGGUAUCUUAACAGAAAGGGACGGCUAACUACGUG
This 495-nucleotide ribosomal RNA is filed under the name uncultured bacterium. RNAcentral describes it as "partial 16S ribosomal RNA". It matches the Rfam family "Bacterial small subunit ribosomal RNA", at positions 28 to 507 of the family's 1533-position model. The record is from RNAcentral.